RNAcentral lists this non-coding RNA (32 nucleotides) under Mus musculus (house mouse). Lineage: Eukaryota; Metazoa; Chordata; Mammalia; Rodentia; Muridae. The record is from RNAcentral.
UGGGUUGGUGCACAGAUUCAAUAAGCUCUGUA